RNAcentral lists this transfer RNA (90 nucleotides) under Bacteroidales bacterium. RNAcentral describes it as "tRNA-Ser". It matches the Rfam family "tRNA". From Rfam's summary of the family: Transfer RNA (tRNA) molecules are approximately 80 nucleotides in length. Their secondary structure includes four short double-helical elements and three loops (D, anti-codon, and T loops). Lineage: Bacteria; Pseudomonadati; Bacteroidota; Bacteroidia; Bacteroidales. The record is from RNAcentral. RNAcentral also lists the same sequence under 1 other name.
GGAGAGAUGCCGGAGUGGUUGAACGGGGCGGUCUCGAAAACCGUUGAACCCUUAUGGGUUCCGGGGGUUCGAAUCCCUCUCUCUCCGCCA